RNAcentral lists this ribosomal RNA (440 nucleotides) under uncultured bacterium. RNAcentral's name for it is "partial 16S ribosomal RNA". It matches the Rfam family "Bacterial small subunit ribosomal RNA", at positions 338 to 795 of the family's 1533-position model. The record is from RNAcentral.
CCUACGGGAGGCAGCAGUGGGGAAUAUUGCACAAUGGGGGAAACCCUGAUGCAGCGACGCCGCGUGAGUGAAGAAGUAUCUCGGUAUGUAAAGCUCUAUUAGCAGGGAAGAAAAUGACGGUACCUGAUUAAGAAGCCCCGGCGAACUACGUGCCAGCAGCCGCGGGAAUACGUAGGGGGCAAGCGUUAUCCGGAUUUACUGGGUGUAAAGGGAGCGUAGACGGCAGCACAAGUCUGGAGUGAAAUGCCGGGGCUUAACCCCGGAACUGCUUUGGAAACUGGGCAGCUAGAGUGCAGGAGAGGUAAGUGGAAUUCCUGGUGUAGCGGUGAAAUGCGUAGAUAUUAGGAGGAACACCAGUGGCGAAGGCGGCUUACUGGACUGUAACUGACGUUGAGGCUCGAAAGCGUGGGGAGCGAACAGGAUUAGAUACCCGAGUAGUC